This 492-nucleotide ribosomal RNA is filed under the name uncultured bacterium. RNAcentral describes it as "partial 16S ribosomal RNA". It matches the Rfam family "Bacterial small subunit ribosomal RNA", at positions 29 to 507 of the family's 1533-position model. The record is from RNAcentral.
AGUGAACGCUGGCGGUAGGCCUAACACAUGCAAGUCGAACGGCAGCACAGUAAGAGCUUGCUCUUACGGGUGGCGAGUGGCGGACGGGCGAGGAAUACAUCGGAAUCUACUUUUUCGUGGGGGAUAACGUAGGGAAACUUACGCUAAUACCGCAUACGACCUACGGGUGAGAGCAGGGGAUCUUCGGACCUUGCGCGAUUGAAUGAGCCGAUGUCGGAUUAGCUAGUUGGCGGGGUAAAGGCCCACCAAGGCGACGAUCCGUAGCUGGUCUGAGAGGAUGAUCAGCCACACUGGAACUGAGACACGGUCCAGACUCCUACGGGAGGCAGCAGUGGGGAAUAUUGGACAAUGGGCGCAAGCCUGAUCCAGCCAUACCGCGUGGGUGAAGAAGGCCUUCGGGUUGUAAAGCCCUUUUGUUGGGAAAGAAAAGCAGCAGGUUAAUACCCCGCUGUUCUGACGGUACCCAAAGAAUAAGCACCGGCUAACUUCGUG